Molecule: transfer RNA, 69 nt
Filed under: Dipodomys ordii (Ord's kangaroo rat)
Lineage: Eukaryota; Metazoa; Chordata; Mammalia; Rodentia; Heteromyidae
Rfam family: tRNA
About the family: Transfer RNA (tRNA) molecules are approximately 80 nucleotides in length.
Source: Rfam by way of RNAcentral
GGUAGGUGGCUCAGUGGUAGAGUGCUUGCCUUGCAUGCAUGAGGCCCUGGGUUUGAUUCCUCAGUACCA